AGAGUUUGAUCCUGGCUCAGGACGAACGCUGGCGGCGUGCGUAAUACAUGCAAGUCGAGCGGGCCAGUCGCGAGGCUGGCUAGCGGCGGACGGGUGAGUAACGCGUGAGUGACCUAGCCGUGAGUGGGGGAUAACUGCCCGAAAGGGUGGCUAAUCCCGCAUGUGUCCUUUCAUGCGAGUGGAAGGAGAAAGCCGAAAGGCGCUCGUGGGGGGGCUCGCGUCCCAUUAGGUGGUUGGUGGGGUAACGGCCUACCAAGCCUGGGAUGGGUAGCUGGUCUGAGAGGAUGGCCGGCCACACUGGGACUGAGAGACGGCCCAGACUCCUACGGGGGGCAGCAGUAAGGGAUCUUCGGCAAUGGCCGCAAGGCUGACCGAGCGACGCCGCGUGGGUGAUGAAGGUCUGAGGAUCGUAAAGCCCUGUUGACUGGGAAGAGGAUGGACGGUACCAGUCGAGGAAGCCCCGGCUAACCACGUGCCAGCAGCCGCGGUAAGACGUGGGGGGCAAGCGUUGUCCGGAAUUACUGGGCGUCAAGCGCGUGUAGGCGGGGGAUCAGGCGGCGUGUGAAAGACGAGGGCUCAACCCUUGGAGGUCGCGCCGAACCGGUUUUCUUGAGACUGCGAGGGGCGGGUGGAAUGGUUGGAGGAGCGGUGAAAUGCGUAGAGCCCAAUCAGAACACCAGUGGCGAAGGCGGCCCGCUGGAGCAGGACUGACGCUGAGACGCGAAAGCGCGGGGAGCAAACGGGAUUAGAUACCCCGGUAGUCCGCGCGGUAAACGAUGGACACUGGGCGUGGCGGGUAUCGACCCCUGCCGUGCCGGAGCGAACGUGGGAAGUGUCCCGCCUGGGGAGUACGGCCGCAAGGCUGAAACUCAAAGGAAUUGACGGGGGCCCGCACAAGCAGCGGAGCGUGUGGUUUAAUUCGAUGCAACGCGAAGCACCUCACCCACGCUUGACAUGGACGUGAGGGUCGCGGAGACGCGGCUGCCCGCAAGGGCGCGUUCACAGAUGCUGCAUGGCUGUCGUCAGCUCGUGCCGUGAGGUGUUGGGUUAAGUCCCGCAACGAGCGCAACCCCCGUGGUCGGUCACUCGGUGUCCGGCCAGACCGCCGCGCGAAACGCGGAGGAAGGUGGGGAUGACGUCAAGUCAGCAUGGCUCUUACGCGUGGGGCGACACACACGCUACAAUGGGGGGGACAAACGGAGGCGACAGGGCGACCUGAAGCGGAGCCGCGAAACCCUUCCUCAGUUCAGAUCGCAGGCUGCAACUCGCCUGCGUGAAGUCGGAGUUGCUAGUAACCGCCGGUCAGCAUACGGCGGUGAAUACGUUCCCGGGCCUUGUACACACCGCCCGUCACACCACGAAAGUCGGGAAGGCAUGAAGCCGGUGGGUCAGGAGACUGACCCGCGUCGAGUGCCGCCUCGGCGAUUGGGGUGAAGUCGUAACAAGGUAGCCG
RNAcentral lists this ribosomal RNA (1453 nucleotides) under uncultured bacterium. Its description in RNAcentral is "bacterial SSU rRNA". It matches the Rfam family "Bacterial small subunit ribosomal RNA". The record is from RNAcentral.